AUUUGAGUAGACAUUUCUUCAAAGACUAUAUGAUGGCUAAGAAGCACAUGGACAGAUGUUCAGCAUCACUCAUCAUUAGGGAAAUGCAAGUCAAAACCACAAUGAGAUGCUCUUUU
This is a long non-coding RNA of Sapajus apella (tufted capuchin), 116 nucleotides long. RefSeq lists it as uncharacterized. The transcript has 3 exons. Lineage: Eukaryota; Metazoa; Chordata; Mammalia; Primates; Cebidae. The record is from RefSeq and is a predicted model, not a curated record.